RNAcentral lists this signal recognition particle RNA (299 nucleotides) under Aotus nancymaae (Ma's night monkey). RNAcentral describes it as "Metazoan signal recognition particle RNA (ENSANAG00000005015.1)". It matches the Rfam family "Metazoan signal recognition particle RNA". Rfam says of the family: The signal recognition particle (SRP) is a universally conserved ribonucleoprotein. It is involved in the co-translational targeting of proteins to membranes. The record is from RNAcentral. Lineage: Eukaryota; Metazoa; Chordata; Mammalia; Primates; Aotidae.
GCUGGGUGCAGUGGCGUGUACCUGUGGCCCCAGCUACUUGGGAGGCUGAGGUGGGAGGAUCACUUGAGCCCAGGAGUUCUGGGCUACAGUGUGCUAUGCUGAUCGAGUGUUUGCACCAAGUUUGGCAUCAAUAUGGUGACCUCCUGGGAGGAGGGGACCACCAGGUUGCCUAAGGAGGGGUGAACCGGCCCAGGUUGGAAACGGAGCAGGUCAAAACUCCUAUGCUGAUCAGUAGUGGGAUCGCGCCUGUGAAUAACCACUGCACUCCUGCCUAGGCAACAUAGCAAGACCCUGUCUCU